UGCGCUUGGCCUUUUCCAUUUGCUAUUGGAUCGGUCAGUCACUGUUAGGCGGGUGCUAGAAUACCCAGCUCCAAUGGACUCGUCCUUUUUGUGUUUUUGUCAAAUGGAUUUUCUGCUCUGGCAGAUAUUCGGACUCCCUGCUGUUCAGCUUGAUCUUCUUAAUGACUGCUACAUCUUUGUGGAUAAUAGACUACAAAUGUUCUGUGCCCUGCUCCUCUUUGCCCCUGAUCAUUUUCCUUGCGCCAGCGGGCUCUGCGCCUGGAAGCUGGGAUCUUGCUCCCUUCAAGCCCUAUCCCGGAAGCAAGCGUCCUCUGAGAGGCAGAUGGGUAUCUUCGGCCUCUGAGGCUGGUUAACAAGAGGUCCUGGAUCCACAGAACAGCAGACGGGAACGUGCAACGAAGGGUCACGUGUCCAGGGAGACCCAAAACCCUCCAUCACUUUUGCUCUUCUUCAGUUUAGUCACGAACCUCGCAAAACUAUUGUUUGCUGUUCCGCUAAACUCCUCAUACUUGGCAAUAGCGCUUGCGCUUUGACCAUGGCAUCUACUAUCGUUUUUCUAUUUUUAGUAGACUUUUUCUUUGUACAAACAUUAUCUAUGAUCCACCACCUCCUGCAGGUCCGGCAAACUCUUGGUUGACCCAGACUCCCCCGGAGUUGGAGUUGAGGUCAGAGAAGCUCGGGACAACCACGAAGCCGGGGUCCCUCGCGCCCCAACCACCACGGUUAAGGAUUCUGAUACGUUACUAAACCGCCACCCAGAAAGGAAUUGCGAUUUGAACUUCUACCAGAAAUCAGAAAAAGGACAGCCUGCAGGGGUGACGGAGACCCAGAAGUCCAGAGCUUUGCAGAGUCGUCACUCCGGAGAGUACACCUCCAGAAUCUUCAGUGCAGUUUAAAUCACACUUGACUUUGCCCCAGCCUGCGGGUAAGUCAACGGUCAACCAGGGAGACCCAGGAAGGGGCAGUGAGAAUGGGAUGGGACAAGAGAUAAAACAGUUGGAGACAAGACAGGGUUCUGAUCAAGUCUCGUUUAUUCAAGGAAAUAAUUCAGAGGCCGAUUGAAAACUGAGCCCAGCAGGUGAGGGAAGGCUCCAGUGUGGCUGUGUUUGACCAGGAGAUGUUCACACCUCCAGACCAUGGAGAUUCAAACAGAAAGAUUCCAGAGACCCCAUAGGUUAGGCAGCUUGGAGCUUGUCAUGCAGGGUGCUCUUAGCACCAGCCAGCUGCAGGGGCCAAGAAAGAGCCCAUCUGGACUCUGGAGCUCUGUGUCCUCUCUGUCCAAAAUCCCGUGAGCGCCUGAUUUCUCCGGGUGGGUAAUUUUUCACUUCGCGUUUGUCUUCAGAUUUCUCGUGGAAACCUUGAAACCGUGAUUUCUUCCUGUGCAGUUGAAGCUGAACUCCUAAAGAAGCUAAGAUAGGGCCCCUGGUGGUCUGGGCCAGUUCUUAAAGGAUAAGGCUGUAGCCAGGUCCUUGGGUAGAAUCCCCAGCCAGCACAGGUCUGCAAUGGACAUACCUCUUGGAAGCUGGUUUGUCUGGAACUCUGAUAUAUAUGCUUCUGUUUGGGUGGAGGGGGAGACUACCAGGAGGGCUGUCGCUGUGCCGGGCAGGAAGACCUCACAGCUGUGCUAAUCUGAACAAAUACUUUGUCGCGGCUGGCUGUCCCAUAAGUGGGGGUUUCUAUUGUAUUGUUUGUGAUAGAAGAGGUAGAGGAUGGUGGGAGAUGAUGGGAGGGAAGGGUGGCUUGUUUCUGUCGGGCUGGCUUGCAGCUGGUGGGAAGAGGCAUAAGGCUGUCCUCCACACCAUUUCUUCGUCCUUGGGAUCUGUGCUGUCCCUCUGAGGAACAAUGGAAGCCGGAAGGCAGGCUGCUGAAACCAUACCCCUUGAGGUUAGCAGUCGAAGUUGUACCUAGUGGGCUGGCGGAGGUGAGCUGUUGGUCAGUUCACCUGAGGGCUGUGUCUUCAAGUGCCAGGGUAGCUGUUAAAAAGAGCUCAGGAGAAGGCAGGAGGCCAUUGUCUUAUUGAAUUUCCAGUCCAUUAAGAAGUCCUGUCUGUAACUUUGAAGACAGGAUGCGACCCCACAAACUGCUUAAGUUCCUCACCUUGGUGACCCCCAUUUGUCAAUGGGUCCCUCACAGUGUUCCCCAAACUAGGACUGAGAAUGAAUGAGUUUAUCUUUGAAUAUGUUCUUCUCACCAUAGCCACCUAGGACGAAUGUUGUGUCUCCUGCUCAGUUCCUCUCUGGCUGUCCUCUGAACCUCCGUAGGUCCAAAGGCAGGAGCCCACUUACCAGUGCAUGGAAGUCCCAGGCGCUGGGCAGCUACCUUAGGGAAAUGCCAGGCUGCCGCAGAAAGUAUCCCGUUUGUUGUAAAGGACAGAUUUGCUGCUGAAGCCACAGUUUGCAAUCUUGAUGUUUGUGCCAGCAUCAGAGGGUUUGUGUGCCCGUAAUGUGUAAGGACAGUGCUCUCCUGGUGGGAGCCUGCAUGUCCCAAGUGCUGGAACUUGCUUCAGACCUCUGUUUUUCUCUUCACUGCUAUGAGGCACUUCGUAUCCCAAUAGAUGUCCAGUCCUAAGGUUCAAGCAGAACAAGACUGUUUUUCCACUGCCUAUCACUUUCGACAUUUCACUCUGUUGGAAUUACCAGAGUCUUCAUGCAUCUUUACUCCUGGGGGCGUUCUCUGCAGGGUGGAGGCAUUCCUGGCUGUGAGGAUAUAUGUGCUUUGUGGACUUUACCUCAACCAGAUUAUCUUUAGCUGCCCACGUGGGUCUCUCUUCAGCAGAUAGGACUGAGGGGCCCUGCAGCAGGUCGCAUUUCCUGCUGACACUCAAGAGUCAAGGCUCCCCAGAGUCAGCUCAAAGCUGAGAGAAGCGUGCCCUUGUUUCAAGUCACCUCAGGAGGUGAACCCAAACUUCACCCGGUGAAUUUAUCUUUACAGUGGAAAAAACACAAUGCUGGAUGAAAAGUAAAUUUAAAAAAAUAGUUUUCAAAGAAAAAAAUUGAUUAAAAGAAAAAUUUAAAAGACUAAAACUGGGGAGAGCUAAGAGGACCAGUAAACUAGUCCCAGUGAGAGACUCACGGGUGCCGGAGACUGUAAAAUAGUGGCUUCAUCCACGGUCAUAGGAAAAGUGACCCUAAUCAAUAGCAGAGUUCUCAAAUAGUCCCUUUAAAAAAUUAUUCAUUCAGGGUCCCAAGGAGCUUUGGUUUUUAUGUGGGUUCUGAUUACCAAUGUUGCUGACCGCAGGCUGCAGAAGCCGGGGUCACGGAGCAUAGACAUCCCUCGACCCCCUAAUCUUUCUGGUCAUUCUGCAGGGGCUUCUCCCAGCAGCUACUGCCCUUCUCCUCCUAUCCCAUCCCAGCUUUUCUAAGGCACCCCUCCCCUCCUUCGGGGCCACAAGACCCCCCAUCUCAGCCCCUAUUGGGGCUGCUACCAGGUGGUGAGCGGCAGGAGGUCCUUUGUUUCACUCAGCUUACCGGUGGCAAACUAGGCCUUUUGUCUGCAAGGUAACCUGCCCAGCAAGGAGCCCUGAUUACCAAUGGACUCGUCAAUGUCUUCCUCAUUCCAAGCUUGCACCAGUAUCACAGAGCUUGGCUUUUACAGAGCUUCAGAGAAGCUGUGCUUAAUUUGGUGGAAUUCACAGUGCAUCUAGCGUCGUGACACUGUGACACAGUAAGUUACUUUGGUAUCAGGGUAAGCACAGAGGAGAUGGUCGUAAACUGCCCAACUUUUUCUUGGAGUAGAUUCUUUCUUCCCGAGAGCUUUAGGACCUCUUGGAUCAAUCUCAGCAUCUCGAGAUGGAGCUGAGCACAAAGGAGAAGGCCCUGUUGCCCCAGCUACUCAGAGACUGAAGCAGGGAAGGGUCUCUUGAGUGCUGGAGCUCAUGGCUAGACUGGGCAACAUGGUGAGACCCUGUGUCUAAGAAACCAGUCAAGUAGAAAUGGCAUCUGUGAAUUGAGCAAAUACAUUGCCUUCUCAUUUUUUUUUUGGCUCAACAAUGUGUUUUGUUCCAAGUGUCUCACACUCAGCUCAGUGUGGGAGAGUGCUUCCGAGCACUGGACCCAUCACCAAGGGUGCCUCUUGGUUACUUUCACAAGCAUCUGUCUGAUAUGGAGACAGAUAAAUGCCAACUGUCGUUACAUAGUUUUGUGGCUAUUCCUAAAUUGGGCUCACCUAUUUAACUAGCAUCUGGGUCAAAUGUGGCACUACGGUAUGGUGUCCCGAGAUGUCCUCUUACAGCCACUCUUUCUGCAGUGGGCUUUCUCUUCUCACAGAAUUGGUUGGUUUAGUUUGUUUUCGCCAUUAGGCAUGCAGAAUCACAAACUGAAUCUUAUGUCUUUCAUUUGUUCAAUAUUUUGUGAGGUCCAAAUAAUUUAUUAUUCUAAAGACCAGUUGUGUGACCAUAAGCCUGUCACACAACUGGUCUUUAGAAUAACAUUGGCCACUUGGGUCAGUCUCAGUUUGUGAACGUUAAACACAGCUCUAAACAUUCCUACACAGAUUGGGGGUGGGGGUGGGGGCAAACAUAUAAAUGCAUCUUGCUGAGUAUGUAAAUUUAGAGAGACAUGGCUGGCAUGUAACAUAUGAAUACUUUAGUUUCCAUACAAAUGGACGUGGUUUCCGCUGAUUGCCACAGCCAUCUGCAUCCUGGGUCCGCUCUGGGGGUUGGUGUCGCCUGUGUCUGAAGCCUUCACCCCUCUGCAGUGCCACAGUGCUGCUAGCCUUGUGGCCUGCCUUUCUCUGCUGCCCCGUGAUCACGAAGAACAGCUUCUCAGGGCUCUAUUGGCCGCUCCCUCUUUUGAGAAGCACCAGUGCAUAUGUGACGCUCAUUUCUCAGUUCAAUGGCUUUCAUUUUUCAUGUUGAUGUCUACUACAUCCUUUCUUCAUACUGUAUCAUGAGCAGGAAGCACAAGGUUACCUGCAAAGCUGAGGACUUCUCUUUAGAGGAGCCAAGGAGUGGUUAGUAUGGGUUAGCCAUCCUCUGCAACAGGUGAGUUCUUUAUAGCCCAGGCAGGCCUUGAGUUUGCACGUCCCCUAUCUCAACCUCCCCCAAGCAGUUGAGGUCACCAUUCCUGGUGAAGCCAGGUUGUUGACUUACGCCCUAGAAAAGGACAUCAGGAGAAGUUAAUAUGAAUCCAAGCUGAAGUUUAUUAAGAAAAGGGUUUUAAUAGAGAUGUCAGUACAGACAUUAAGAGAGAGGGAAAGAGAAACAGAAGACAUGGACAGUAGCACAUGACUUGGAGUGGAUGCAGAUUUCUAAAGAGAGUCACAUAUAACUCUGUGUGUGAAACAGAGAUGGAGAUAGAGAUAGAGGGGGGGGGCUUGGUGACCUCCAAAGUUACAUUGUUCAAAGAAUUUCAAAGAUUAAGUGGGAAUGUUUUAGUAUACUUAUUCUUAUUCUCUAAGCCAGUAGUUCUCCACACGUGCAUCCCAAUUCCUCUGGCAAACCUCUAGCUCCAAAACAUGUUUACAUUACAAAUCCUAACAGUAGCAACAUUACAGUUAUAAAGUAACAACAAGAAUCAUUUUGUGGCUGGGGGUACCCUGGUCUAUGUGAAGCCUUGUGUCAACAAACAACAAAAGCCUCAAUGGAAUCCUUACUAUAUAUAGUAUACACAGGUGACAAGGAAGUCAGGGUGGUGUUUGGCUGGGAAUAUGGUUCCUAAUCUUGUUUGUGCAAUUCUCAGCCUAUGGAGGUGAGGGACUCUGUUUCCUCCCAGUGACCUCCAUUCCCCCCCCCUUUUUUUUAGCCUGACUCUGUUAGCUAUGAAUUCUUUGUUGGCUAUGGCCCUACAUGCAUUUCCUCUUUCCUCAGAAUUCUGCUGUUAAUCUCCUGCUCUCUGUUAGUUCACCCCAAAUUGUCCCUUUCUCAUAGUGGACUUCUUGUCACUUAAAGAUGAUGGGCACCUUCCCAUCUUGGGACAGUCCUUCUCAGGCAUCCACAUGACUCUUACAAGCCUUGGCUCCAAGAUCUACUUGUAUGUCCUCACAGAACUCCUGGCAUAUCUACAUAUUAUCCUUUACCUUUUAGAGACAGGAUCUUACUAUGUGGGGUGUCUUUUGUAUAUGUGUUGCUUUUAUUGGUUGAUGAAUAAAGCUGUUUUGGUCAAUGGCUUAGCAGAGUAAAGCCAAGUGGGAAAUCUGAAGAGAUAGAGGGAGCAGGCAGAGUUGAGGAGACACCAUAUUGCUGCCAAAGGAGACAGAUGCCAACACCUUGCCCAAUAAGCCACAGACUCAUGGUGAUACAAAGAUUAAAUAGAAAUGGGUUACUUUAAGAUAUAAGACCUAGCUAAAGGGGGCUGGAGAGAUGGCUCAGUGGUAAAGAGCACUGCCUGCUCUUCCAAAGGUCCUGAGUUCAAUUCCCAGCAACCACAUGGUGGCUCACAACCAUCUGUAAUAAAGUCUGGUGCCCUCUUCUGGCCUGCAGACAUACACACAGACAGAAUAUUGUAUACAUAAUAAAUAAAUAAAUUUUUUUUUU
Alexandromys fortis (reed vole) is the source of this 6472-nucleotide long non-coding RNA. RefSeq lists it as uncharacterized. The record is from RefSeq and is a predicted model, not a curated record. The transcript has 4 exons. NCBI's taxonomy places the organism in Eukaryota, Metazoa, Chordata, Mammalia, Rodentia, Cricetidae.